GAUGAACGCUGGCGGCGUGCCUAAUACAUGCAAGUCGAGCGAACAGACGAGGAGCUUGCUCCUCUGACGUUAGCGGCGGACGGGUGAGUAACACGUGGAUAACCUACCUAUAAGACUGGGAUAACUUCGGGAAACCGGAGCUAAUACCGGAUAAUAUAUUGAACCGCAUGGUUCAAUAGUGAAAGACGGUUUUGCUGUCACUUAUAGAUGGAUCCGCGCCGCAUUAGCUAGUUGGUAAGGUAACGGCUUACCAAGGCAACGAUGCGUGCCGACCUGAGAGGGUGAUCGGCCACACUGGAACUGGGACACGGUCCAGACUCCUACGGGAGGCAGCAGUAGGGAAUCUUCCGCAAUGGGCGAAAGCCUGACGGAGCAACGCCGCGUGAGUGAUGAAGGUCUUCGGAUCGUAAAACUCUGUUAUUAGGGAAGAACAAAUGUGUAAGUAACUAUGCACGUCUUGACGGUACCUAAUCAGAAAGCCACGGCUAACUACGUG
This 496-nucleotide ribosomal RNA is filed under the name uncultured bacterium. RNAcentral's name for it is "partial 16S ribosomal RNA". It matches the Rfam family "Bacterial small subunit ribosomal RNA", at positions 28 to 507 of the family's 1533-position model. The record is from RNAcentral.